UGGGUUCGGGUUGGAAUUUAGGUAGUGGUCUUCUCUCGUAUGUUUGUAAAUAUGGACAAAGAGGUUGAUCUUCUUCUUUAUUUGUGCAUUUACAUGAAAAACAGAGAGGUUUUUUUUUGUUUUUUGGUUUUGUUUUUUUAAUCAAACCCUUGAAAGGUUUGGAUCUAUGGCAUCGUGAGCGGAAGCAAAGCGAUAGCAAGAUGAUGAGGGCCUGGACGAUGACGCGAUUGAGAUGAUGAAGAAAUUUGGGGAGUAGGACAUAAGAGUUGGGGAUGGCGGUAGGGCCUGGAACACGAGUUUAUUUUUUAAUUGUUAAUUUUUUUAAUAUAUAUUUUUAAAUUCUUAUCGUGUGAAACGGACCAUGUUGUGUGAUUCGUGAAUUGUAACGGGUUGUGUUCAUGUUUGACAUUUUCAACCCGUUUUCUUAUCGUGUCGUGUCGUGUCGUAUUAACCCGUUAACACGAAAACGACACACACUGCAAAAACGACAUGAAUGCCAGCAUUUAAAUAUCAGCACAGUGGCCUGAAGUGGCCCCAUUUUGUUCAUUUGCACUCCUCACCCUGUUUUUUAUGUUAACAAGAAUUGCACUCAGAAGGCCAAAAAUAUCAUUGCCAUCUUUCUUUUAGCUUUUGCACACCUCCUCCCUCCCACUUGUAAUCUCCAUAAUCACGUUUUAAACAAGUGUGGACGAGGAUUUAAAUUCUAGCUACCUUUCAAGAUUUAGGACAAACAACUGUAUACUAUUCUCUCAGCAGAGUAGGCAAAAGUUGGGGUUGUUGAAAGGAAAAAAUAUUGGAAGACCAGCUAGCCAAGGAAAAUAAGGAGCCAGACAAGCCAAAAGCCAAACAAAAGGUCAGCAAAUCAAGUAAGGCGAAAACUAAUCCGCAGAGGGAGGCUGCAGUGAAUUGGAAUAGCUUGGAUCUAAGGAAAGACAGAAAUAACAACUCCAUCCUUAUGCCAUGAAACCAAUCCACUGGCUGCAAUAUCAAGACUAACGAAAGUAAACAAACUUACGAAAUUUUUUCGAAUCGUUUUGUACAAUUCUGUGAAUGACUUGGGGCGAACAAAGGAAUUAGAACUACAGUGCAGAAUCCACCAAAAAUAAGAACAGCUCCAGCAAGGAACUGAGGCAGCCUAU
This 1139-nucleotide long non-coding RNA is filed under the name Prunus persica (peach). RNAcentral's name for it is "long non-coding RNA (PPER_LNC003104)". The record is from RNAcentral. Lineage: Eukaryota; Viridiplantae; Streptophyta; Magnoliopsida; Rosales; Rosaceae.